AGGCUUUCUUGGCCAGUUGGCUGAAGUGAAGUUUAACAUCUGUUAUCAGUUUAAUACCUGAUAUAUCCUUUAUCGGGGGAUCACAGUCCACAUUAUUAAGUGGAUAGAUAAUUUAAUAGGUUAUUUCUUCCCCCUCCCUGUGAUUUACAAUCCCAAGUGAAACUGGUACUGGAGGUUCUUUCACUUUACCAGACCAAUC
Molecule: small nuclear RNA, 199 nt
Organism: Malaclemys terrapin pileata
Lineage: Eukaryota; Metazoa; Chordata; Testudines; Emydidae
Product: U2 spliceosomal RNA
Exons: 1
Source: RefSeq, a predicted model, not a curated record